RNAcentral lists this long non-coding RNA (4836 nucleotides) under Aedes aegypti (yellow fever mosquito). Its description in RNAcentral is "lncRNA AAEL021440". Lineage: Eukaryota; Metazoa; Arthropoda; Insecta; Diptera; Culicidae. The record is from RNAcentral.
UUAUCGUAACAUUGUUGAAUAACGUGUAAACCCAUUUGUUUCCUCGGUAGCUACAAGCUACACACUCGGUUACCAAUGGCUUUUAGGGCGAGAUCACAAGUUGUGCGAGAAUACUUCUCGAAAUCACCACCUUUUACCCUUUUAAAUAACGAAAUUACUACAAACUUCGUUACUCUGUGGCGCAUUAAAACUUGUUUAUGUAGCAAAUAAAACACAUACAUCAGCAUACAAGUUGGUAAACUUGCAUACAAGUUAACUCCAAUGCAUAUCCAACUGUCAGUAUCCCAGAAACAAGACGUGUUUAUGAUAUAUCUGAACAACUUGGAACAACUUGUUCACCUGUGUAACGAAAAUACCUUCCCAAGUCACCAGUAAGCACGAUAAUCCAGCAUUAUAUGCGCAUUCAGGGUAGUCAUUUAGUGCUAGACAGCUCUUGUACGCAUAUAAUGCUAUUAUAAUGUCAGAAAAGGCAAAAUAGGGUGCCUUCGAAAUGUAUAAAUAUGAUGAUGAUGUAAAUCCCUCAUUUGCGUCUCGACCCUGCGACACCCUUAAUGUUGGAUUGCUGAAAUCCUGCUCCUUGCACUUUCGGUCACUGAAGAUGACAAUAAUUGUGGAGCAAAUAGACCAAUUUCCAUCACUUUUCCCCGUCAAAAAAUCUGCGAUUGUGGUAGUGAGAAGAUUUAUGUUUUGCUCCCUCUUACAUGCAAACAUGCUUUACAAGCGAAUACAGAGCCAAUGUAGUACUUUAUGCUUUGGAAGUGCUAUUAUAAGAUGUGUAAGCAUUUGUAGUGAUUUUAUAAUGCACGCAUGCAUCUAUGUUGGUGAUUUACGGCUUGUUAAUAGUGCUUAUGGUUUCUAGGUGUAUGAUGAACAUUGAGAAUUCAUUUGAAAAGCCUCUGAGAAGCUUAGAGAGUUCAUUUUGAAUGUUUCUGAGAAGCAUCGAGAACUUUUUUGAGCGGUAUUGAAAAUGUGCUUCUGGAAAGCAUUGCCGCUUCUGUGGAAAAUAUUGAGAAUGCUUUUAUUACCGAUUUUUUUUUUGGCAAUUACUACAAAACUUAACCACAAAGCUUCUUCUAUUUCGAUUGCAUUUAGGAUGCACUUGAAGCGCUUUUAGGAAGCAUGAAGAAUGCUUAUGUGACGAAGAUAAAAUAUUUCUUGAUAAUGCUUCUGGGAAUUUUCAAGAAUGCUUUUCAGGAGCAUUGAAAGUAGUUUUGUGGUAAGCAUUAAGAAUGUUUCUUUGAAUGUAUUGAAAAUGCUUCAAGAAAGGUUUGGAAUUUCCCUCGAGAACUUUGAAAUACUUCUGGAAAGCUUAAGAAAGCUUCAGGUAAGCAAAGCAAAUGCAUCUUAAAAGCAUUCAGAAAGCUUAUGGAAAUGCUUCCCGAAAGUAUUGAGAAUGCUUCUCAAGAGCAUUGGGAAUGCUUCUCAGAAACAUUGAGAAUGCUUUUCUGAAGUAUUGAUAAUGCUUUCGGAAAGGAUUCAGAAUGAGUAUACUUCCAAGAAGCCUUCUAAUGAAUCCUGUGAUCAGGAAUUCUCUGGGAAGUAUUGAGAAUGCUUCCAGAGAGUUUCGAUUGUGCUUCCGAAAAGCGUUGAGAAUGCUUCUGGAAAGCGAUGAAAAUGCCUCUGGAAAAUCAUUGAAAACGCUCCCGGAAACUAUUCAGAAUGCCUUCAAAAAGGAUUGAUAUUUUUUCCGGAAAGCAUUAAGAAUGUUUUUUUAAGCAUUGAUGAUUCUUACGGAAAGCAUUAACAAUGUGCUGGAAUGUAUCAGGAAUUGUUAAGGAAAGCACUAAGAAUGCAAGGAAUUGUUAAGGAAAGCACAAAGAAUCUUAUGCAUUGCGAACAUUUCUGAGGUGCGUUGCGAACUCCGCUACAAAUUGUGUGAAGAGUUUUAUUUAAAGAAACAUAUUCCUGAAAAGCAUCGAGAGUUCUUCCGAUAAGCAUGCUUGAUUUGACAUUGAGAAUGCUUCUGUUAAGCAUUGAGAAUGCUUCUGUUAAGCAUUGAGAAUGCUUCUGUUAAGCAUUGAGAAUGCUUCUGGGAAGCAUUGAGAAUACUUGUGGGCAAUAAAUAUACUUCUCAGAAGCAUUGAGAAUAAUUCUGGGAAGCAUUGAGAAAGCUUUGUGGAAGCUUGGAGAAUGCUUCUUGAAAGCAUUGAGAAUGUUCUUGAAAACAUAGAGAAAGCUUCUUGGAAUCAUUAAGAAUGCUUCUGAGAAGCAUUGAGAAUGCUGCUGGGAUGCACUGAGAAUGUUUCUGGGAAGCAUUGAGAAUGCUCCUGGGAAGCAUUGAGAAAGCUUCUUGGAAGCAUAGAGAAUGCUUCUGAUAAGCAUUGAGAAUGCUUCUGGGAAGCAUUGAGAAUGCUUCUAAUAAACGUUGAUAAAGCUUCUGGGAAGCAUUGAGAAAUAUUCUUGAAAGCAAUGAGAGUGCUUCCUGGAAGCAUAGAUAAUGCUUUUGGGAAGCAUUGAGAAUUCUUCUGAGAAUCAUUGCAAGUGCUUGUGGGACGCAUUGUGAAUGAUUCUUGGAAGCAUUGAGAAUGCUUCUUAGAAGCAUUGAGAUUUUUUUUUUUUUGAAGCAUUGAGAAUACUCCUUAGAAGCAUUGAGAUUGCUUCUUGAAAGUAUUGAGAAUGCUUCUGGCAAGCAUUGCGAAUUCUUAUGGAAAGCUUCGCGAAUGCUUGUGAGAAACAUUGGUGAUGCUUCUGGGAAGCAUUAGGAUUGCUUUAGGAAAGCAAUGAAAAUGCUUCCAGGAAAUAUAGAUAAUUAUUGCUUUUAAAAAGCAUUUGGAAUGCUUCUCGGAAGAAUCAUCGAUGCUUAAACAUUGAGAAAGUUCCUGUAUAACACUAGGAAUGCUUCCGAGAUCCAUUGCGAAUAUUUUUGGGGCUUUCAAUUCCGUAUAAGAAAGGAGCAAAUUCUUAUGCAAAUAAAGUCACUUUUUGGAUUGUCACUUCUUUUGUUUCUGCUCGUUGACGGAUACAAAAUAUCCAAGUGCGUUUGUGAUAGGUUUUCAUUAAAUUUAUCUUCUGCUAGCGAAUCAAUCAGCUCAACUGUAAUUCGCAAUGACCACCAUUAAAAGCGCCGUCGUUACUGGUAGGUUGAAACCUCUUUUGAUAACCGUACAACCACCAAAUCGGAUUUUCCCAUUGGCCUGGAUGGAACACGUCUUACGGAUGAUUGUUUUGUUUGAAAUGCCAUUUUCCCUACUUUUCACUAUUAUCCUAAAAAUUAUCUGUCGAAUUGCCGAAAACAAAUGCAAGCCAUACUCAGUCGUUAGUAAACUUUUAGGGAACUUUUCGUUUUCAGCUCAACGUACACAACCCUCAAUUGGACAGAUCCUAGCUGAGCGUGAUCCUACUUUAUAUUACUAUUGUCUUUUUUUGUUUUCUUUUCCUAUUAAGUUUACUUUCGUAUGUAUAUGUAUAUCACUGGUGUUCACUUGUUUUAGACGUUUAGUGUAUGCAGGAAGUUACUUGCUUCGUGUAGAAUAGUGUCUCCAAGGCUAAGGGGGCGACCUUGCGGUCCCAAAGCUCUUCACUUAAAUAGAAGAAUCACAACCGAUUAGUAAUGAAGAGCAAAAGUGAGGUUAGGUUCAAAACGUUAACAGUUAGUUAAAUUGUAAAUUUUUACUUAAAACUAAAGAGCAAACAGGCGAAACAAGAUUGUGUACAGUUAAGGUUAGGCAAGCAAACAAACUAAACGAGAAACACAAAACCAAGGUGGCUAAAUGAGGUAGGAAUUGCUGAUUCAUGCUCGCUUUGAUACGAACGUGUGAAAUGUCUCCCAUGGAUGAUGUUUUAGCAAUUGAAAUGUGAUAUUCAUGUUGAAAUGUAUUAUUGUUUUUUGUUUCGUUUGCGCGUACCACUUUUGGUUUUAAAGUGAAUAAAAUGUCAUGUCAUGGCGACAACGUCGGCGAUGAUUUGUAAAAUUUUAGAAAACAGAUCGAAUUUAAGCCCUGAUGAGGGAGAAAGAGUAACGUUAAAUGAGAUUCGUAAUUAGUACACACCUUAUUCGAAACAUUCUAAACAUUUGAUCUCCACCGAUUGGUAUUUCUUCUCGCGAGUAGAUAUUAUGUUCCUUAUUAAACAAAAAUUAAGAGAGAGGAGAAGAAACUCAAAUUAUGUCCAAAAUUAUCGUCCAACCGCUUGAAUCAAUCAAACGCGCGAGAAACAAAGGUUUUAAGACAUUUUUCGUUUUUACUUGUAAAUUUACAGCAAAACAAGCUUAAUAUUUCCUCACGUGGAUGCAAUUCCACUGGAGCCGUUCAUCCAAACAUAACCUGUAGAGCAAAACUCACCACUGCAGAGAGAAAUCCACCGCUGUAAAUAGACCCAGCCCAAUCCUCCCAAAAAACACCACUUGCAAACACAUCCAAUAUAUAUUUAAUGUAGCCGCAGAAACGAAUUUAACUAGCAACUUAACAAAAUAAUAAAAGAUAAAAACAAAUACAAGAAGAACCCAAUAAUAGUAAGCAAACAAAUAGCAUAAUGCAAAGACGACGACUUCAAUGGUGCAAAAUAAAACAGUUAAGCAAAUUCUUACACGACAAGUGUGUGGGUUGAGCAAAAUGAGUACACUCACACAAACACAUACACACGUACACAUUAAAAUAGAAAAAAAAACAGAGUCCAGUUUGCCCGAGCAAACACAACACGCGAUGGUUUUGACAAAAUUUUGGUUUUUCUCUUCAGACUUUGAGAGUUAAGAGUUAAGAGGGUAUCCCCCACCCCUUCUUAGUCGGUAGGUAAUUUAUUAAGGCGCAACAAAACUUCAUUUUCACUAUUAUUAUUUCCGAUUGUUUCUUGAUUUUCGUGUCCUGGUAGCACGUCUCCCGAAAGGAAGAAGUUCCCUUA